GAUGAACGCUGGCGGCGUGCCUAAUACAUGCAAGUCGAGCGAACGGACGAGAAGCUUGCUUCUCUGAUGUUAGCGGCGGACGGGUGAGUAACACGUGGAUAACCUACCUAUAAGACUGGGAUAACUUCGGGAAACCGGAGCUAAUACCGGAUAAUAUUUUGAACCGCAUGGUUCAAAAGUAAAAGACGGUCUUGCUGUCACUUAUAGAUGGAUCCGCGCUGCAUUAGCUAGUUGGUAAGGUAACGGCUUACCAAGGCAACGAUGCAUAGCCGACCUGAGAGGGUGAUCGGCCACACUGGAACUGAGACACGGUCCAGACCCCUACGGGAGGCAGCAGUAGGGAAUCUUCCGCAAUGGGCGAAAGCCUGACGGAGCAACGCCGCGUGAGUGAUGAAGGUCUUCGGAUCGUAAAACUCUGUUAUUAGGGAAGAACAUAUGUGUAAGUAACUGUGCACAUCUUGACGGUACCUAACCAGAAAGCCACGGCUAACUACGUG
RNAcentral lists this ribosomal RNA (497 nucleotides) under uncultured bacterium. RNAcentral describes it as "partial 16S ribosomal RNA". It matches the Rfam family "Bacterial small subunit ribosomal RNA", at positions 28 to 507 of the family's 1533-position model. The record is from RNAcentral.